GUUGUGCUGCCUGAGUGGGCGGGGCGUUGGGCACUUCCGCCGCGUGCUGAUGUUGAGACCGAGUGGAACCUUUAAAGUAUCCAGCGGGAGUAGCCGUGGGUUCAGGCUGCUUGUCCACCGGCUGCCGGUAAACUGGAACCGCGUCCUCCGCUGCCCUGCCUCUCAGCCCAGGAGAUUUUGUGAUCAUUUACCAUUUCCCACUCUAAGAGGUGUUCUUACUGCGGCUCUCACAAAACGGACUUUGGUUACUAUCAGUCCGCCAACCUGGUGCAGUACGAUGCCAUUAGAUGCCAAAUACCGAUUCUUGUUGCUUUAUGCCACUGAAAAAGGACAAGCAAAAGCAAUUGCUGAAGAAAUUACUGAAAAUGCAGAUGGAAAAGGAUUUGUAGCUGAUCUACAUUGUCUAAGCCAAAUGGAAGAGUUUAACUUGGAGAAAGAACAUGCUCCAGUUGUUAUAAUUACCUCCACGACUGGUAGUGGGGAGCUCCCAGAGACAGCAAAGCAGUUUUUCCAGGAAGUUAGUGGCAUCUCAGCACCUCAUCAUUAUGCACACAUAAAAUAUGCAGUAUUAGCUCUUGGAGACUCAAGUUACACAUUUUUUGCCAAUGGUGGGAAGAUGAUUGACGAGCAGCUUCAGCGGCUUGGUGCAGUUCACUUCUAUGCGACUGGAUAUGCAGAUGAUAGUGUAGGGUUGGAGUUGGUUGUCAGUCCUUGGACUGAUGGUCUUUGGGAUGCCUUGAAGAGCGCAUGUCACAAGCGUGUAGAAAGGAACAGUGAUGGAGAGGGAAUGUCUGAAACAACUGAUGGUUCAGGGAUAAGUAAACUUCAUGCCAGCGAUCCUGGUCUUUCAUCAGAAAUGAAAUUAUUGAAAUUAGAUGCAACCGUUUCAGCAGAGGUUGACAAUUCAACUACCACACCUGAGAACUUGGAACAGAGCACAUUGGUGGCAGGAUCACGGGAGUAUUUACCAGGGCCAGCCUGGGUACGCUCUGAGAAACCACUGUCAGAAGCUCCUCUGAAUAUCCCUACCCUGCCAAUAGAGUAUCUCAAUGUGGAAUUUCAGAAGUGUACAGAACAGGAUUCUUCGCAAGAAUGUUUCUCCCUUGUACCAGGCUCCAAUGUGUUUCGGGUACCAGUGACCAAAGCAAUUACUCUGACCCGGGAGGACGCAGUGAAAACUGCACUACUCAUAGAACUUGAUAUUUCUAAUACAUCAAUAACAUAUGAGCCUGGUGAUGCUUUCAGUGUUAUAUGUCCUAAUUGUGAAAGUGAAGUGGAAUACCUAAUUCAAAGGCUUGGGCUUGGAGACAAGAGAGACCACAUUGUUGAUUUCUACAUCCAACCAAACACCAAGAAAAAAGGUGCACACCUGCCCAAUUACAUACCAAAAAGCAGAACACUGCAGUUCACUCUGACUUGGUGCCUGGAAAUACGAGCAGUUCCUAAAAAGGCCUUUUUGCGAGCAUUAGUUGAGUACACAUCUGACCCGAGUGAGAAACGGCGAUUGCAAGAACUAUGCAGCAAACAGGGUGCAGCAGACUACAACCAGUAUAUCAGAGACUUCAAUGUUUGCCUGCUUGAUAUCCUGAGAUCAGUUCCAUCAUGCCAUCCACCAUUUAGCCUACUUGUAGAACACUUACCAAAGCUGCAAGCUCGAUCUUAUUCAGCUGCAAGCUCAUCCAAAUAUUAUCCUGGGAAGCUUCAUUUUGUUUUUAACAUUGUUGAGUUUCCAUCUUCGGCUGUGCAGCCUACCGCCCGGCGAGGAGUUUGCACAGGUUGGCUGGCACAGCAGGUAGCUCCAGGGCUUCAGAGCUAUGACAGUGAAGCUGCAAUUGCCGACUGUUCAUCGGAUAGGUUUGCAACAACACAGAUUUCCAUUUUCAGUCGGCAGAACACAUUUUUCCAUCUACCCUCUGAUACUGCAGUUCCUAUCAUCAUGGUGGGGCCUGGAACUGGCGUUUCUCCCUUCAUAGGUUUCUUGCAACACCGACAAAAACAAAGAGAAGAGAAUCCUAAGUGUACUUUUGGAGAAACCUGGCUAUUCUAUGGCUGCCGGCAUUGUGAUCGAGACUAUCUGUUUCGAAAAGAAUUACAAGAUUUUCUAAGUAAUGGCACUUUAACGCAACUGAAAGUCUGUUUCUCAAGAGAGGUGACAGAUGGAAAACCAAAAUAUGUUCAACAUUUACUCCAGCACUUAGCCCAUGAUGUCGCAAAAGUUUUGCUGAAUGAACGUGGCUAUAUGUAUGUUUGUGGAGAUGGCAAGAAUAUGGCUAAAGAUGUGACUACCGCUCUGACUGAAAUUAUAUCCAAAGAGCUGGGAGUGAAUACUCUAGAAGCCAUGAGAGUUGUAGCCAACCUGUGUGAAGAGAAGCGCUACUUGCAGGAUGUCUGGAGUUGAAUGAGCCUUGAGAAGAGGAUUCAAAACCAGUUGCAUGUCUUUAUUUAAGAUAUUUGCAAAGACAUGAGACAUUUUUAACCAGUGAUAAGUCUAGGGGAACAAAUUGGAAAGACUAUUCUUUUAGGCGAGAUGUUUGGAUUUUUUUUUCCAGCACAGGCCGUGUUGAAAACAUUAAACAUAAUGGUGAUGUCCCUCUGUUGAAGAACACUAUGUUGACAGAAGAAAUGAUGAUAGCUUGUCAAACAUCUUUCUGUGAAAUGCUCUUCCAGAUGCAGGCACUUCUUGAAAGAGUUGUUGGUGAUUAUUUUUCUGCUUUUUGAUGGAUUACCCCAUAAAACAGCAAUUUUUCUUCACAUGUGUAACUGAAUGGUAUAUUUGAUAAAAAUCAAUGCAAGUUGUAAUAUUUAUUUAUUCAAGUUUUAAGAUGUGUCAUUUGAAACCAUUUAAUUAGUAAGUUAUAGUUGUAGGCAACACAACUGUAAUUAAAAACUCCAGCACUUUCAGUACAUUUAUACCAUGACAUACAAAUUUCAGUUUUAGAAAUUCUCAGGAAUAGUCGUGGACCAUUGUUUUCCCACAUUUCAUCAUUCUAUUUAUCAUGCUGUCAUUUUUUCUGUCUUUAAGUUAGAUACGAAGUAUGUUUUUUUUAAACAUCAAGGACAUUACACUUUCACCACUUGACUCAAUAUUGCUAUUGAAUCAUACAGCAUGGAAACAGCACACGUUUCCUAUGUCAGCUGUGUUGCUUAUCAACAUUAAUUCCAUUUGCCUGUAUUCCUCUAUGCCUGUCCUGUCUUUUAAAAGUUAUAAUGGUAUCUGCACCUACUACUGUCUUUAGCAUCUCUGUCCAUCUCUGUAUGGGAAAACCCUAUUGGUAUCAGAUAUCUUUUAAAUUUCUCUCCUUUUUUUUAUUGUGCUCUCUAGUUCUAGACUCACCUGCUGUGAGAAAGAUUCUGAUUAUAUAUCCUAUCUAUGCUCCUCAACAUUUUCAUUUCUUCGUUAUGUGCCGUAUCACAUGGCGUGGGUGACCAUGGUCUUUCCAUGACCAAGAUCUUUCUUGGGAGAUUUUUCUCUAGAAGUGGUUGGCCAUUGCUACCCUCUGGGCAGUGUGUUUACAAGAUGGGUGACCCCAGCCAUUAUCAAUACUCUUCAGAGAUCGUCUGCCUGGCAGUAGUGGUCACGUAACCAGGACUUGUGGUUAUGCACCAGCUGCUCAUAUGACCAUUGACCACCUGUUCCCAUGGCUUCAUGUGACCCUGAUCAGGUUGGGGGGUGGGCGGUGCUAAGCAGGUGCUGCACCUUACCCAAGGGUGACCUGCAGGCUAACAGAGGAAAGAAGUGUUGAUAGAGAUGUGUCUCCACCCUCAUAAUUUUAUAAACCUCUAUAACAUCAGCGAUCACCUUCCUUUGUUCCAGUGAAGAUAAACUCAGCCUAUCCCAUCUCUCCUCAUAACUACAGCCCCCAAUUUCAGGCAAUGUCCCGUUGAAUCUCUUUUGUUUUCUCUCUUUUGCUACCACACCCUUGCUGCAGUGUGGCAGUCUUACACAGUGCUCCAAGUGCAGUCCAAUCAAUAUUUUGGAUUGUAAGACAUGCCAAUUGUUGAAUUCAAUGCCUUGCCUAUGAAGGCAAGCAUGCCAUAUGGCGUCUUUACUAUCCUAUCCACCAGCGUUGCUACCUUCAGCACACUGUAGACUUGCACCCCAAAAUUCUCUGCAUCAGUGCUCUGUUUACUCUUGUGCCCAUCAGAUUUUACUGCAUGAUGAAAUUCCAUCUGCCGCCAUUUCGCCCAAUGUCCUGAGAUAGCCUUCACUAUCAAUAACACCAUCAAUUUUCAUGUUAUCAGUCCAUCUAAAUUUUCAUCCAUGUCAUUUAUAUCUGUUAGAAACAGCACAGGUCCCAGCACGGAUCACUGUGGUCCAUCUGGUUACAGAUUUCCAUUAAGGAAACAUAAACAUCCACCACUACUGUCUGCCUCCUAUCACCACGCCAAGUUUGGACUCAGUUUGCCAACACACCUUGGGUUCAUCAUACCUUCACCUUUUGGACCAGCCUGCCAUGUGGGAUCUUGUCGAAUGCCGUGCAAACUAUGUCUACUGCUCUGCCUUUACCAAUUUUCUUAGCCACUUGCUCAAAAAACUUUUUCCGAUUUGUGGGACCUAAUUUCUUCCACAUAAACCUAUGCUGUGCACAGAACAAAACUAUACUUCUCUGACAAACUUCCAUGCUAUUUAUGCAAAGCUCACAGGUCUAUAUUUUAGAAGGGCUUGUAUCUAUUGCCCUUCUUGAAUAAGGAAACGAUAUUGGGUAUCUAGCUUCUGUGAUCUGUGAAAUUUAUCAUAUUAUCUUGUACUUCUCUUUGCGCAGGGAGGCUAUUUGGCCAAUUGAAUCAAUGCUAUCUCACAAUAUUCGCAUUAGUGUUGUUCCCACACUUACUUAUCUUGAAUCAGCUCUCCACUGAUUGUCCUGCUGUGCAGCUGGACAAGAGCUAAUUUGGAGGAUACUGGAGCACUUGUGGAAAUCCACGCGUUGCAAGGAGAACAUGCAAACUCUGCAUGGACUGCACCAAGCAUCAGGAUUAAACCCAAGGUCCCUGGAGCAGUGAGUCGUGAAGGUAUUUGGGCAACAAGCUUGAUGAGCUCAAGAGAAGUGUACAGGAAUGAGGAAACCUCUAAUGAUUAGAAAGUAAAUAGCAACACAUAGAUCAUGGAAGCAAUUCAGAAUUCAAACUGUUAUCACAGCCUGGAAUUUCCAGCCAUUAGUUAAAGAACAGCUACUAACAUAAUGUAAACUGGCUUAUAAGCAGCAAACAACAGGAAUUCUGCAGAUGCUGGAAAUUCAAGCAACAUACAUCAAAGUUGCUGGUGAACGCAGCAGGCCAAGCAGCAUCUAUAGGAAGAGGUGCAGUCGACGUUUCAGGCCGAGACCCUUCGUCAGGACUAAGCAGCAAUGUCAUUUUUGCCGCCUUUGGAAGAGAUGGGAUGCACACAAGCAAGUGAAGACCUUCUGUGGCUCUUCAGCCAGUCUUCACUGAGAAACCUGAUACUGUCAUCUUUUUCAGGGCUGUAGGUGGGAAUCUCAACUGUGAUUUUCAGUAGCUGAAUUAUAAUUCUGCACAUUAGUAGUACGUAGAGAAGGCUGCAGUCUAUACUCUGGUGCUUGUCCUCCAGAUUUGAGGCGGGCGUUUACACUUCACGCAGCCCACAGGAAACGACAGGGAUAACCCAUUGAUAAAGUUUGAUGGGAACCUGUUACACUCAUUGAAAAUUUAAAUUUGAUCUGUAAGCAUUGCUCAGGUUUGUAUAGAAAGUAGAGGCGAGGUGAGGCUUCCUUUUUAUAAUAUCUGGGUGGUUUUGCUUCUUCAGGGCUUUCAGCAUGUCUCUGAGUGGGCUCAGAAGCAAGACCAUUGCCCCAGUGACUGUAGUGGAGUAAGGAGUAGAAGGGCUCUGCCUAGACAAUUCCAUCCAAUAAUACUUCAAUCUCCACCUAGUCUUCCAUCUUUCCAGAGGAUGGAUGUUCAAAGGAAGUGGUUAUUGCAAGGUGCUGCAGUAACUGCAUUGCAUGUCACCCUGAAGCCCACAGUAGACCUAAAAUCCAGAUCAUUGCAAUGUAAUUUAUUCCAUAUUUUGCAGUUUGCAACCUAUAUUUUCCAGUGGAAUUUGAAGCUUAUCACUGAGCACUUGAGGCCAGAACAUUAGUUUUAAGCAUGAGCGGCAAGUGAGAUAGAGAGGGCAAGAAUGGUUGAAUUAAGGGAGGGAAAUAAGACAUAUAAAUAUAAAAAUUUUGUAUUUCUAGCACUAAUUAAAUUCUGAAAGAGUAAGACUCAUCAACCCCAGAGGGGUUGAUUGGCAAUAAUUAACACUUAACUGUCCUGUGAAUAAUACCUUUUCACCUGUAUGGUCGAUUGAUUUCCCAAUGGGUAAUUAUUGAUAUUUCACAACUUUAUUCAAAGUUUUGCUGUUUUUAGCCUGACAUAAAGCUCUCUAUCGAUUGUGAAUAAUUUGUUGAGUGAAAACUUUACAAAAGUGUUGAGAUAUUUUCCAUUUGUUCCUGAAUAAUUGCAUUAGAUGGGGCAAUGAAGGCUGGACACAUCUCCAAGAAAAGGAGAGGUGAUGGAAGUAAAUGCCUAAAAUCUUGC
Molecule: RNA transcript, 6534 nt
Organism: Mobula hypostoma (lesser devil ray)
Lineage: Eukaryota; Metazoa; Chordata; Chondrichthyes; Myliobatiformes; Myliobatidae
Gene: mtrr
Gene name: 5-methyltetrahydrofolate-homocysteine methyltransferase reductase
Exons: 16
Source: RefSeq, a predicted model, not a curated record